GCAGUAGUUGUAUAGUGGUUAUUAUGCUGCUUCCAAGCAUGCGACCGGGUUCGAAUCCGGCUACUGCA
Molecule: transfer RNA, 68 nt
Filed under: Rhizoclosmatium globosum
Lineage: Eukaryota; Fungi; Chytridiomycota; Chytridiomycetes; Chytridiales; Chytriomycetaceae
Rfam family: tRNA
About the family: Transfer RNA (tRNA) molecules are approximately 80 nucleotides in length. Their secondary structure includes four short double-helical elements and three loops (D, anti-codon, and T loops).
Source: Rfam by way of RNAcentral